GAGUUUGAUCCCUGGCUCAGAUUGAACGCUGGCGGCAGGCCUAACACAUGCAAGUCGAGCGGUAGAGAGGAGCUUGCUUCUCUUGAGAGCGGCGGACGGGUGAGUAAUGCCUAGGAAUCUGCCUAGUGGUGGGGGAUAACGUUCGGAAACGGACGCUAAUACCGCAUACGUCCUACGGGAGAAAGCGGGGGACCUUCGGGCCUCGCGCCAUUAGAUGAGCCUAGGUCGGAUUAGCUAGUUGGUGAGGUAACGGCUCACCAAGGCGACGAUCCGUAACUGGUCUGAGAGGAUGAUCAGUCACACUGGAACUGAGACACGGUCCAGACUCCUACGGGAGGCAGCAGUGGGGAAUAUUGGACAAUGGGCGAAAGCCUGAUCCAGCCAUGCCGCGUGUGUGAAGAAGGUCUUCGGAUUGUAAAGCACUUUAAGUUGGGAGGAAGGGCAGUAACUUAAUACGUUGCUGUUUUGACGUACCGACAGAAUAAGCACCGGCUAC
Molecule: ribosomal RNA, 496 nt
Filed under: Pseudomonas anguilliseptica
Lineage: Bacteria; Pseudomonadati; Pseudomonadota; Gammaproteobacteria; Pseudomonadales; Pseudomonadaceae
Description: bacterial SSU rRNA
Rfam family: Bacterial small subunit ribosomal RNA
Source: RNAcentral